UAAUACGAAAUAUGAUUGUUCACAUUAAAAUGUAAAACUUGAUGAUAAAGUAUGAUAAGGUGAAAAAACGUGACAUUUGACGUGUAGAAAGUCACUUUUCAUCAAAAGUACCAUAACAAAACUUGUUCCCAUUUAUCCUGUGUGUCCAUACACACUGGUGCUCUUUAUCCGCUAAAACGCUACACAGCGCUUCAGAAGGCUCUAGGAGCAAAGGAAAGUGGUUUUUCUAACAAACUCAUAUUUUCAAUUGCCUGACCAACUCCAAUAUGAUGUUUAUCACAUAUUUAGACAUAAUAUAGUACUAUGAAAUGUUUCUGACCCAAAAUAUUACGAAAUAUGAUCGUUUACAUUAAAAUGUAAAACUUGAUGAAAAAGUGUGAUACGGUGAAAAAAGUGACAUUUUAUGUCUAGAAAGUCACUUUUCAUCAAAAGUACCAUAACAAAACUAGUUCGCAUUCAUCCUGUGUCCCAUUACACACUUGUGCUCUUUAUCCGCUCAAAACGCUAUACAGCGAACGAGAAGGCGCUAGGAGCAAAGGAAAGUGGUUUUUCUAACAAACUCAUAUAAUCAGUGCCCGACCUACUCCAAUUUGAUUUUUUUCACAUAGUUAGACAUAAUAUAGUACUAUGAAAUGUUUCUGACCCAAAAUAUUACGAAAUAUGAUUGUUUACAUUAAAAUGCAAAAGUUGAUGAAAAAGUAUGAUAAGGUGAAAAAAGUGACAUUUUAUGUCUAGAAAGUCACUUUGAAUCAAAAGUACCAUAACAAAAUUAGUUCGCAUUCAUCCUGUGUCCCAUUACACACUUGUGCUCUUUAUCCGCUCAAAACGCUAUACAGCGAACGAGAAGGCGCUAGGAGCAAAGGAAAGUGGUUUUUCUAACAAACUCAUAUAAUCAGUUGCCCGACCUACUCCAAUUUGAUUUUUUCACAUAAAAGUCAGUUUUCAUCAAAAGUACCAUAACAAAACUAGUUCGCAUUCAUCCUGUGUCUCUUACACACUUGUGCUCUUUAUCCGCUCAAAACGCUAUAGAGCGAACGAGAAGGCGCUAGGAGCAAAGGAAAGUGGUUUUUCUAACAAACUCAUAUAAUCAGUUGCCCGACCUACUCCAAUUUGAUUUUUUCACAUAGUUAGACAUAGUAUAGUACUAUGAAAUGUUUCUGACCCAAAAUAUUACGAAAUAUGAUUGUUUACAUUAAAAUGCAAAAGUUGA
This is a long non-coding RNA of Ictalurus punctatus (channel catfish), 1210 nucleotides long. The record is from Ensembl. Lineage: Eukaryota; Metazoa; Chordata; Actinopteri; Siluriformes; Ictaluridae.